UUUCAGGUGUGAGAGAAGGUAAAUAUAUUAUGGGUGUUUGCCUAGGAGUAGUAGCAAGUUAGGUAUUGGUCAUGACUCAUGAAAUGUGUUGUACAAAAGUAAUUGGUUUCUAUAUAUGUGUACUCGUAUACAUAGUCACCCCCCCCCCCCCACACACACACACACACUAAAAAGAGGUUAUACUCUUUAGCUAGUUAACAUGCAUGCUUACUUAAAGGAAAAACAUAUCUUGAAGUUAAAAGUCUCAACAUACCUAUGGCUAUAACUAUCCAAAAUUGCCUUUCCUUGCUCCUUUUCCCUCAAAUAUUCCUAAUCUAAGUGAAAUAAUAACACUAAACAGAAUGGUUGUUACGUAUUGUUUCAUAAUGUAUUGAGUAUCGUAUUAUAUUAUGUUUUGUUAUAUUAUAUUAUAUUAUUUUAAUGAAUAUUAUGGAUAGAUUGUAUCGCUCUUCGUCGUUACAUAAUAUAAUUUGAAUGAUAAACCUACAAGAAAAGUAGAUAAAAGUAGGGUACGGGAUAGAGCACUAUGAAAAGGUAGGAUAAAAAAUUAAAUAUAAUUAUUAAAUAAUAAAUAAUAAAGACAAAAUGAAAAGAAAAUAUUAAGGUAACGACGCGAUCACACCAAAUCGAUUGUUACUUAAAAUUGUUCUUUUCGUCGUCACCUAACCAUGAAUUUAAUGAUACGAUACAAUAAAAUUUAAGUAAUAAUCAAAACAAACAUUGUAUUUAAAAUAACAAUACAAUACAAUACAACGAAUAACAACCGUCCAAACAAGGUGUAAAUGUUGAGGUUAAUUACAUCUAUUGAGCCAUCUCUAAUUAAAAAGCCUAGACUUCAUACGGGGCGGGAUUUUAAGUUGAUAGGUUCAAAAUCAAAUAUUUAGUUAAUGUUACGUUGUUUGCACAUAUAUAUUCAAGUAAUAAAGAGAAUUGAAUUUAGUUGAACUCAUAACUCUAAAACUAUACUUGCCACUGUUAAUGAUGUUGAAACCGGAUAACCGUGUGUUUGUUCAUGCAUGGUGAUUGGUGUUCAUGGUUUCGAAAUUCGGAUCCUUCGGUCCUAUAACUUUUACAUUAUUUAAUAAAUAUAAAAGAGUUAAAAAUACCUUUAAAGUAUGAAAAAUCAUUAAGUUUGCCUUUCGUUAAUAGUUUGGAUUAAUCAUGCAUGUCUCUACCGUUAAUUAAUUAGACCAAAAUUGGUCUUAUUUUACAUGAUAAAACUUAAUAUUAGAGUAAUAAGAGUAUAUUCGACUUACACGCAUAUAUACUUUUAAGAGCAAUCUAGUCCAAUUUAGUUCCUAGUAACUUUAGUGAUGCAAUAAAAUGUAAACUUACAUUUAUAAAAUAAAUUGAUUAAAGUAGAAUAAAUAUACUCAGUAAUUUAAGGCAUCUGAGAGAUACAUUAUAAGUUGUUUUAAAUAAUUUGAUGUGUCAUUUGUACAAUUUAAACAUAUUCUAAGAAAUCGGCAAAGAUAUUUUUAAGAUUUUAAUGACAUGAUUUUAAAAGGUCGAUACUAGAUGUAAGAAAUAAUUUAAUUUAAAUUCUAAUUUAUUUAUUUGGAUUAUGAACAACUUCCCACUUACAAUUUCAGAUUUGGAGGUAAUUAAGAGGGGUGGGGUGGACCUUCAAAUCGAGAGUAUACAUGUGGUCAUCCAUCCAACCACUAAGAUGUCCCCAAGUCACUAUCAUUUUUCAUUCGAAAGAUUAUUUAAAAAAAAAUAAAAAAAGUAGAAGAUAAUCCACUUCAGAUAACUACGUCUUUGCUAAGUAAUGUAUGGAAUGAUUGAGAAUGAGAUUAUUUGGAUAUAUAAUUUAUAAGUCAAGAGUAGAGUUAUCCAAUUGUCUAAUUCAAUAAUUGAAAAGCUUAAGUCAUCGAUGACGACCUUUUAAAAUUGUUCGCAUAAUUCACUUAGACAUCUAAUUAACUAGAAUUAGUACCUAUUAAACACUUAAAUUAUUCAAAGUGUACCAAUCAAACACAAAAUGUUGAUGUGGCAAAAAAUGUUCUUUUCACUUUUAUUGGGCGGAUGAAAGAAUUUCGAAUAAUAUUUUUGUUUUUGUUUUAUAAAGAGCUUGCCUAUUUUUAUUGACAUUUGGCACUAAAUAAAUAACUAAAAAAAAAAUUUUAGUUAUUUUUAAAGAUAAUAUUUUUUUUUAAUAAAAACGGAAAAGUAACUCUGGUCGUUAUCUUCUUUAAGGAUCAAAUUCACACACUUCGAAUAAUUGAAUGUUAAAUAUGCAUAGUCAAAUAACAUAGGGACGAACAUUGAAAUUAUGUAAUAAUACAAGAAUUAAAUCGCUAUUUUUAUGUUAUCACUUUAUUUGUAUUUUUUCUUCAUAAUAUCAGCAUGUGAGAUACACACAUAACAUUCUAUAAACCGAUUGUUAUUUGUGUUUAAUAGAUAUAAAUUGGUCAAAAUUAGAGUGUUCAAGAUGUACAUGUCCUAAUUAAAGAGGCUUGAUAAAAUAUGAAAGCAACUUCAAAUGGAGUGAUAACUUAAAUUUAAUUGAAAUUUUCAAACAAGCCAUUAGUGAGAUAUCACUUUUGAAGGCUUAGAAUUCUAGCCUUGUGUCAAGACUUACGGACCAAGGGACAGUCUCAGGUAGACAAUUUCUAUGGGGCGUAGGCCUCCCAAAAAGUUAUGAAAGUGUGCGAAAGUUUCCUCGGGGCGAAUAAAGAUUGGCCAUCGAGUGCAAAGGUAGAAGGGAGUUUGACUGCAACACCCACUUGUCGAGUAGGAACGAAAGUCGACUUUAGUGAUCCGAUGAUGUCGAAUGGAAGGAUAGUGACUCAACGGAUAAAAGUUACUCUAGGGACAACAAGUUGAUCUUCCCCGAGAGUUCACAUUGACGGGAAGGGUUGGAACCUUGAUGUCGGCUCUUUGCCACCUAGGGAUGUAGUAUGUUCCAAGGGUUGGGUUGUUCGCCUAUUAAAGCAGUACGUGAGUUGGGUGCAGAACAUCAAGAGACAGUUUGGACUUUGGUCCAUAUCUGAUGUGAGCAUUAGAGCAUUGAGAGGAUCUUUCUUUAGUACGAGAGGAUGGAAAAUUACUUUCAUGUUCAAUUUAGAAAGCACUUUUUUCAUUGAAAAUUCAUCAUACCUAACAGCGAAUUUCAAACUUGCAAAAAUCCUGCAAUAUCCAUGAAAUAAAGAGAUUUGUAUAAUUUCAAGUUCAUUAAUUAAUUUCACAAAUGAGCAUUCAAAUCAUAAAAAUUAACCAUAUAAUGUUAUUAUUGAUUUCUUAUCCAAUUGUCUAAUUCAAUAAUUGAAAGGUUUAAGUCAUCGAUAACGACCUUUUAAAAUUGUUCGCA
This 3313-nucleotide ribosomal RNA is filed under the name Solanum verrucosum. RNAcentral's name for it is "bacterial LSU rRNA". The stretch from base 2456 to 2980 matches the Rfam family "Bacterial large subunit ribosomal RNA", at positions 2086 to 2636 of the family's 2925-position model. The record is from RNAcentral. Lineage: Eukaryota; Viridiplantae; Streptophyta; Magnoliopsida; Solanales; Solanaceae.